CGCACAUUGCGCCCCCUGGUAUUCCGGGGGGCAUGCCUGUCCGAGCGUCAUUACAACCCUCAAGCUCUGCUUGGUGUUGGGCCCCGCCGCCCCGGCGGGCCCUAAAGUCAGUGGCGGUGCCAUCCGGCUCCGAGCGUAGUAAUUCUUCUCGCUCUGGAGGUCCGGUUGUGUGCUUGCCAUCAACCCCCAAUUUUUUUCAGGUUAACCUCGGAUCAGGUAGGGAUACCCGCUGGACUUAA
RNAcentral lists this unclassified non-coding RNA (239 nucleotides) under Pseudogymnoascus appendiculatus. RNAcentral's name for it is "partial contains 5.8S ribosomal RNA, internal transcribed spacer 2, and large subunit ribosomal RNA". The record is from RNAcentral. Lineage: Eukaryota; Fungi; Ascomycota; Leotiomycetes; Thelebolales; Thelebolaceae.